Molecule: ribosomal RNA, 267 nt
Filed under: uncultured bacterium
Lineage: Bacteria
Description: partial 16S ribosomal RNA
Rfam family: Bacterial small subunit ribosomal RNA
Source: RNAcentral
UACGUAGGUGGCAAGCGUUGUCCGGAUUUACUGGGCGUAAAGCGUAUGUAGGCGGAUUUUUAAGUAGGAAGUGAAAGGUUGGUGCUCAACACUAACACUGCUCCCUAUACUGGAAGUCUUGAAGGCCGGAGAGGAAAGCGGAACGAGUCGUGUAGCGGUGAAAUGCGUUGAUAUGACUCGGAACACCAAUGGCGAAGGCAGCUUUCUGGACGGUAGGUUUACCUUUAAAUUUGACGCUGAGAUACGAAAGCGUGGGGAGCGAACAGG